GAGUCUUCCAGGGCCUUCCGGGGCACGCUGGACUGUUCCGGAAGCAUUUUGGAGCUGUUUUGAGCCUGUUUUGGGGCGAAAAUAGUGUCGUCCGUAACAAAUAUGUUUGGAUGUCCGUGGUCCAUGCAAUUAGAGCUAAUACCGUCAUGCCAUGUCAGUGUCACAACAAUUAUUUAAGCACUUGCUGAAUGCCUCUGCCUGAUUGACACGUGGAGGAAGCAGGAGUGACUUAAAACAGAGCCCUCUAAUUUGCUUCUUUCCUUUGACUUCCUGCUACUUUGGUAAACCAUCCCAUCAAAUCCUUAAUUAGUUGCAGUCGUAGAAACGUUGUUUAUAUAUCCCAUUGUUUUUUUUUGGGUAGGUAAAUAGUGACAACAAUAACUUAUAACGUUAUAAUAAAUCUAAGCACAUGUAAGUAGCUCUUACAAUAUGAGAUGGGUAAACCUAGGUUUUGUUGGUUUUUAUUUUUAAUUAAAAAUUGAGGUGAAAGGGAAAUAAAGGAAAAAUAAAAUUUUAAUUUUUUCUUCUUUACAAAGGAACAUUGUCUCAUUAGACAAAACCUGCAAAUAGUGGGUCUCAAAGUUGUCCAUGUAAAAAGAGAAAUAGAACGCAUUACAAUAUUGCAUUUUAGUAAAAUACAAUAUUAUAAUGCGUUUUACCUUAAUAGCUAGAAAAGUAACUUUUAGCCAUAAAUUGCCAUUAAAUGUGAUUUGCUACUGAUUCAUGAACUAAAAAGGUCAAAUUGCCAAUUUCUUGGGUAACUCUGCUGAAUGGACAGACAUAGCAACAUUUUCUUUUUCAAACUGUUUCCAUUUAAAUACUACCAUAAUGCUUUAAUGGUAGGUAAAUCCUUUGAUCAACCAUUUGCUAUAACAAUAAUUAUUAUGGCAUAAUUUCAAAUAUUAUUAUUACUUUUCGGGAAGAAUUUAGUUGAGCUAUAAAAAAUAAAUGGCAUGCACUUAAAAGAUUUUCUUCUUUAUUCCUUUAGUUCUUGUUAACUUGGAUUAAUUUUACUUUACAAUGUCUUUUGUAACGCAUACUUUGAGCUAAUUAGCUCCAAAUUGAUUUUUUGACUUACUUUCUAACAAAAGUACUAUAAAUCAGAAGAUAAUACUCUCAUUACUAUACUCAAUAAAAAAAUUGAGUCUUCUUCAGGGGUGGCUCAAAUCUAAGUUGCUCGGAUGCGGAUGCAGGUAUUCGACAUAAGUGCGGAUCCUUCGAGAUGUAAAUUCUAAGAUUCGAAGAUACGGAUCCUAAUAUGAAUAUGAUGGGGGGACCGGCCAAAAAUAAUUCAAAAAAUAUAAAAAUAUAUCUAAAUUAUGAGAGCCAGAACGAAAUGGACAUGUGAGCGAUCAACUACGAGAACUCGACCUAUCAAAAUUUUGUGGAAUACUUAUGUAUAGCUUAUAAAGUAUGCAUUUUUUUUUUAUUCUCAAAUUGUAGAUAAGUAGAUGAUUGAUUACCUAGAUAAAGUACGCUAUUUUCUUCAAAUUAAUCCUAGUUUUGAUUCUGAUUUCGGGCAACAAAUUGUAUCUUGUCUCGAAUUUUUUCACUUGUCACGGUCAAAGUCAAUUAUUUUACCAUAUUCAGUACGGAUCCCAUACCCACACCCUUUCUAGUAUCGUGUCGACACGGAUAUGACAUCUAAACUGCCAUGUCAGAGUUAUUUAGGCUCAAACACAUGUGUGACCUAAAAUCAAAGUUUAAUAUGAGAUCUAAAAUUUUUUAGAAGGUUAUGCUAUAUAUUUUUAUUUGAAGUCUAUUUUUCUAUCUUUUCGAGAUGCAAAGUUGUUAAUAAUUUUUUUUGUAAUCGAUUUCCUAAAAGUUCCUUCUCAAGUGAUAAUAUAGCCAAUCCAUUUAAUCUAUAUUGGAACAUUAUUAACCACAGUUAAAAUUUUAUGAAUUAUAAUCUUGAAAAAAGUCUUUCCUUUGAGGCAAUUGUUAUAAAAAAAACUCCACUUUCGUAUAAAAUGUACUAAAUAUUAUUUUUUUAAAUGCCUAUAAACCUAUUAUUUUAAAAAAAUGAAACUCCCAAAAUUUAGGGGCCUACGGCACAAGCCUUACUUGGAACAAUAUUAGAGCCGGUCUUGGUCUUCUUUCACACGCCUAUAUAAUAUUGUUCACGGAAAAAUGAAGAUAUUACUCACAACAUAAAGAUGCUUUUUAAAAGUGAAAUAAAUAAAAAUUUACUAAUAUCUCAAUAAUAAUUAAAUAGAUUGGCUAUAUUAUCAAUUUGGAAGAAAAUAUUAGAAGAAAUUAACUGUAAAAUAUAAUUAAUAUCUUCGCCUCCAAAGGCCUUUAAUAACGAUUCAACUUUAGAUUACCAAAUGUGAUUGGGAGUGCUUACAUUUAUGGAGAUUUACUUAUCUUUGACAAACAGAAAAGAAAAGAAUAAUAUGGAUGGUUGCCAAGUAAAAUUAAACUCUUGAGCACAUUGCCAUAAUUCAAAGUAAUUGACAAAGCGGCAGAGGUUUAUAUAGUACUUGAUUGUCUAAGUAUGGCAAAAAUGAACAAGGUUUUCUCAAAAAAGUGUACAUCUUUUGCUUUCAUUUCACUUGAGUAAAACUAAUUUGAACACCCUUGUUGCUUAAAAUUUUGUUUUCCCUUUAAAAAGGGUUUCCGUGUAAACUUGUAAAGUAUCAGCAAUAGGCUACGCUUCCAUCUUACAACAAUAACUCAGUAUAAUCUCACAUAGUGGGGUUUGGGGAGAGUAGUAUGUACGCAAACCUUACCUCUACUUCUGGGGUUGAGAGACUGUUCCCAAAUAGAAACUCAGCAUCCUUCCCUCCAAGAACUUCCCACCUUGCUCUUGGGGAGACUCGAACUCACAACCUCUCGAUUGGAAAUAAGAAUUGCUUACCAUCAGAGCAACCCCUCUUGUCUUUCGCUUCCAUCUUACUUCACAUUUAAACCAAAAAAGUAUCAAGUUUAGCUAUUGAACAUAUUCCAAAUAAGAGGUUCAUUUACAUUCCCAGCGAAGAUAAGUAUACCACUCAUCUUUUC
Molecule: long non-coding RNA, 3003 nt
Filed under: Nicotiana benthamiana
Lineage: Eukaryota; Viridiplantae; Streptophyta; Magnoliopsida; Solanales; Solanaceae
Description: long non-coding RNA (NBEN_LNC032354)
Source: RNAcentral